CCUACGGGAGGCAGCAGUGGGGGAUAUUGCACAAUGGGGGGAACCCUGAUGCAGCGACGCCGCGUGGGUGAAGAAGCGCCUCGGCGCGUAAAGCCCUGUCAGCAGGGAAGAAAAUGACGGUACCUGAAGAAGAAGCCCCGGCUAACUACGUGCCAGCAGCCGCGGGAAUACGUAGGGGGCAAGCGUUAUCCGGAUUUACUGGGUGUAAAGGGGGCGCAGACGGCGAUGCAAGCCAGGAGUGAAAGCCCGGGGCCCAACCCCCGGAGUGCUCUUGGAACUGCGUGGCUGGAGUGCAGGAGGGGCAGGCGGAAUUCCUGGUGUAGCGGUGAAAUGCGUAGAUAUCAGGAGGAACACCGGUGGCGAAGGCGGCCUGCUGGACUGCAACUGACGUUGAGGCCCGAAAGCGUGGGGAGCAAACAGGAUUAGAUACCCUGGUAGUC
RNAcentral lists this ribosomal RNA (440 nucleotides) under uncultured bacterium. RNAcentral's name for it is "partial 16S ribosomal RNA". It matches the Rfam family "Bacterial small subunit ribosomal RNA", at positions 338 to 795 of the family's 1533-position model. The record is from RNAcentral.